UACAGAGGUCUCGAGCGUUAGGCGGAAUCACUGGGCUUAAAGCGUGUGUAGGCGGGGCGUUAAGUGCCUUGUGAAAUCCCAUGGCUCAACCAUGGAACUGCUGGGCAUACUGGCGAUCUUGUGCCACCUAGGGGCGAGCGGAACAGAUGGUGGAGCGGUGAAAUGCGUAGAUAUCAUCUGGAACGCCAAUGGUGAAAACAGCUCGCUGGGGGUGUGCAGACGCUGAGACACGAAAGCCAGGGGAGCGAACGGG
RNAcentral lists this ribosomal RNA (253 nucleotides) under uncultured bacterium. RNAcentral's name for it is "partial 16S ribosomal RNA". It matches the Rfam family "Bacterial small subunit ribosomal RNA", at positions 524 to 776 of the family's 1533-position model. The record is from RNAcentral.